Molecule: long non-coding RNA, 519 nt
Filed under: Homo sapiens (human)
Lineage: Eukaryota; Metazoa; Chordata; Mammalia; Primates; Hominidae
Description: HSALNT0316723
Source: RNAcentral
UGAAGGAUGUACACCUUUUUCUGGGAGAAUCCCAGAGAAGUCAAUUAUCAAGUUUGGCAGCUGUGGUUUACCUUGGUGAGUAAUAAAUUCAUCACAACAAGAAGAAAAACUUGCUAUGAUUUAAUCAGAGGCAGAGCCAGGAAGUAGUCCACCCUUGAUUCUUACUAUCAGGUCAGACUAUUGAAAAGUGGAGGAACUGGUGAAACCUGCUGGAAAGGAGCGAGUCAUUAUGCCUGUGUUUGAUGAAGGUUGCUGCAUUCUCUCUCUCUCUCUCUCUAGCAAAACUGAACUAUUCUUCAAGGCAAUACCUUUUUCCCCAGAAAUGCAGCCUGUGCUAAUGGUGUGCUGUGAUGGCCUUUCCUCCCUUUUUGAUCCAGUCAUUUGGCAUGUAAACCUCUUUAACAUUGUCCCUUCCUGGCACCUUCUGUGCUCUUGGGCACACCCGUCCUUGGGUCUAUAUAAGGAAAUAAAAAGCACAGAUGGUAGAAGGACUGGGCGGGCAGGUGAGUAAAGCAGGGC